Molecule: long non-coding RNA, 2480 nt
Organism: Monodelphis domestica (gray short-tailed opossum)
Lineage: Eukaryota; Metazoa; Chordata; Mammalia; Didelphimorphia; Didelphidae
Source: RefSeq, a predicted model, not a curated record
UAGUCCAUUCUGUCUGUGGGUGUUCACUUCAUAUAGGGGGAAACACAUAGAAGACACACCAGAAGGAAAAGUGCCAUGUGUUCACAAACCCAUGGUUUCCUGGAAAGGAAGUAUCUGGUGAGACAUCUGUAUGAGUUGUUACUCCUUCCAUCUGAGGGUACCUGCUUGAUCUUGCUUUGUUCACAUACAGGAAAUGCAUUUAUAAAGACAGGGCCCAGAGUGAUGCUUCUUGAUCCUUCUGGCACCAUCAGAAGCCAGUGAGAAAACUCUUCAUUACCACAUAGCACCAGCUCCUCCAUCAUUCAUGGAAAGAAAAAUGACUCACUCACAUUCCACACAUUUACAUGGCAAAAGGCAGAGAAUAUUUGAUAUGCUCUGUAUAAUCUGUCAGGAAGGAUAUGUUAACACAUGCUCUAAGGACUGAGCCUUCACAGAUUAUUCUCCAAUUAUAUAGGUAAAGCAUCUUGGAAAUAAACAUUUCUUCCAUAAAUGUUAUUUACUAUUUUUUUUUCAAAAGGGUUUCCAAUCAUUUUUCAAGUUCUGAAUAUUCCAUGAUAUAGCUAGAGCUAAAUUUGUACCUAGUGUUCUGUUUACAACCCUCUUGCUGUUUCCUUUUAUCCCAGGUCAGAGCAUCCUGAAGAAACUCAGAGAGCAAUCAAAAAGAAGUAAUAUCCUGCUGUGACAUAUUCCCAAAGGACACAAUGGAUUCAGUAUCUUUUGUAUUUGCCAUAUUAGUGUCAUCCAAAUUGCAAAAUUUACAGUCACUGAAUCACAAAUUUUCAGAAUUGGGAAGGACCUCAGAGGCAAUCUAGUCCAACUCAAGCCUGAAAAGGAAUGCACUUUACAAUAUUCCAGACAAGCUGACACUUAGCCUCUGUUACAAGACCAAUAAGGACUGAGAAUCGAAUGACUCUAGUAGCAGCCUAUUCCACUUUUCUAAGAGCUCCAAUGGCUAUUUCCCCCUUUUUAUAUGUCUCAACGCCAUCUCCCUCUUUUUAACUUCUACCUAUCAUGGUAGAUCUGACCUCUUGGCAGAGAGAGAACAGAACUAAUUUCUUUUUCAUAUGGAAACGACUCUUGGAGACUACACCCCCAAUGCCAAGAUUCCUCUUCUCCGGUAGAAUUUCCAAUUCUUCAAAUUGCCUAAACUCAGGUCUCAUCAGCUUCGGAUACUCUAUCAAUUAUCAAUGUCUUUACUAAAAUGUUAUGUCAAUGAGUUGUGUAUGGUUCAUGUCACUAGGGCACAAGACAAUGGGGCUGUCACCUACUUAUUCCUGAACGCUGUGGCUCCUAAGGUAUCAGUUUUUGCAACCACUAUAUAACUCUGCCAACUCAUUUUGUACUUGAAGUCCAUAAAUGGUUAUUUUGGACAAAUCGUUGUGUGUCUGUGUUUUUCAGAAUCACGUAAUUGACUGAUCAAUCUACAUGCCUUCAUGGUAGAAUAGGGAUUAAGAUUCAGUACUAUCUCUGCCACAAUUGAGGUUUGAUUCCCAGUCUGGGAAAUUAUUUCUAGCCAAACUGGUGUGUAUUGAUAGCACACUGAAUUUGCAAUCAAGAAGAGCUAGAUUCAAAUACUCCACAGAUUAAGUCUGCAUCACCUUUGUCAAGUUACUUAAGAUCUCUCUGACUCAGUUUCCUUAUCUGUUAAAUAAGGAAGUUGGAUUCAAUAACCUCUAAGAUACUUUUCAGCACUAAUUCUAUGAUUCUGUGAUACUAUUUACUAGACACCAGAGAUACAAAGAAAAACAAGAAAAUAGCCCUUAUGCUCAGUGAAUUUACAUUCUAUCAUUCAGAAGAAAGAUUCUCUACAAAUUCAAAUUAUAAUAUCCCUCAUUUUUGAUCCUUUAAUUGAUUUUUGAGUCCCAAGUCCUGUAUUCCAUGACUGUCUUCUCUCUGAGUAAAACAGAAAUGCAGGAAAUACAGAAAAUGAGUGUACCUGUGUAAUCGUCAACAUAAACAUCUUUAACAAAAGUUUACUGACAAUUUAGUUCAUUCUCAUUUCAUUAAGUGAUCAUGUAUCAAUGAAAAAUUCUUGUCUCCCAUACAGGGACUGUUCCAAACCUUUUUUUUUCUCUUUCUUUUCAUUUUUUUUAACCUGAGGAGGGGAAUGCAUGAAUCAAUAAUUACAAAGCAUUGCUCAGCUUCUCUGCUUACUUUCAUCUUGCAAUGAGAUUAAUAGCCAUCCUUGGGACACCAGCUGCUUUCUAUUCAUCAAAAGGAGGCCGGUGGCUGGCAAUUCUUUUGGAGUGCUGAGGAUUUGAUUCCCUCAUUUCAUCAAAAAUUCCUUUAUGCAUUGUGUUCUUCUAAUCCCUGGCAGAACAUUACUACAUGGAGUUCUUUGGAACAAGUUACAGAACCAAUUCUGAAAUUCUGAAAAGUCCUAGGUGUCACAUUUUAAAAGAAAAUUAAUAAGCUGGAGAGUAUACAGAGGAAAGUGCCCAGGAACAAGAGGAAUAUUUGAGCCAUAUGAGGUAAAUUAU